Molecule: ribosomal RNA, 696 nt
Filed under: uncultured bacterium
Lineage: Bacteria
Description: bacterial SSU rRNA
Rfam family: Bacterial small subunit ribosomal RNA
Source: RNAcentral
UAACGCGUGAGGAACCUGCCUCAAAGAGGGGGACAACAGUUGGAAACGACUGCUAAUACCGCAUAAGCCCACAGGUCGGCAUCGACCAGAGGGAAAAGGAGCAAUCCGCUUUGAGAUGGCCUCGCGUCCGAUUAGCUAGUUGGUGAGGUAACGGCCCACCAAGGCAACGAUCGGUAGCCGGACUGAGAGGUUGAACGGCCACAUUGGGACUGAGACACGGCCCAGACUCCUACGGGAGGCAGCAGUGGGGAAUAUUGCACAAUGGGGGAAACCCUGAUGCAGCGACGCCGCGUGGAGGAAGAAGGUCUUCGGAUUGUAAACUCCUGUUGUUGAGGAAGAUAAUGACGGUACUCAACAAGGAAGUGACGGCUAACUACGUGCCAGCAGCCGCGGUAAAACGUAGGUCACAAGCGUUGUCCGGAAUUACUGGGUGUAAAGGGAGCGCAGGCGGGAAGACAAGUUGGAAGUGAAAUCUAUGGGCUCAACCCAUAAACUGCUUUCAAAACUGUUUUUCUUGAGUAGUGCAGAGGUAGGCGGAAUUCCCGGUGUAGCGGUGGAAUGCGUAGAUAUCGGGAGGAACACCAGUGGCGAAGGCGGCCUACUGGGCACCAACUGACGCUGAGGCUCGAAAGUGUGGGUAGCAAACAGGAUUAGAUACCCUGGUAGUCCACACCGUAAACGAUGAUUACUAGGUGU